RNAcentral lists this unclassified non-coding RNA (429 nucleotides) under Hevea brasiliensis (rubber tree). Lineage: Eukaryota; Viridiplantae; Streptophyta; Magnoliopsida; Malpighiales; Euphorbiaceae. The record is from RNAcentral.
AAUGGAGAAAGAGAAUCCAUAUAACCAACUCCAAAUUCUUGGAAUAAUGGCUUAGUUGAGUUGAGUUUUUAGGAAGGAAAAAAAUAGAAAAUAAAAGAUAAAAAAUAAAGGAGAAGUUAGCUUUUGUAAGAUGUAUGUGAAGAAAGUUGACAUCAGCUUUUGUUUCUGCCUUUUGGAGGAUACCAGCCUUGUUCAAUUGGUCGUUUGCAUCCUAUCGAUAAGUUUAUCUUCCAGCGGACCACCAAAGGAUAAGAAAGAGGCAAAUGCUUAUCUGCAGAAUAGGAUUUUUGAAUAUGGUGAAGAAGGGAAUCCUGCGGAAAGAGUUAUGAUUGAGGAGCGCAGUUCUUCAAUAACAAAUUUGAUCUUUACUACCUAUUUCUUGGUGAAAAAUUUCACCUCUACUUUUCUUUUAUCUAUUCUGUGGCAAGU